Molecule: long non-coding RNA, 2690 nt
Organism: Chrysemys picta bellii (western painted turtle)
Lineage: Eukaryota; Metazoa; Chordata; Testudines; Emydidae
Source: RefSeq, a predicted model, not a curated record
UUAAGGCACUCACUGAAAGUUCUCCUGAGCCUUGUCUCCCCGCCCCCGGUCUGCGGAGAUGGGGUACAUGGACGGAGGGGGGGAGGGAGGAAGAGAGAGAUAGUGUGUGUGAGAGAGACAGAGACAGUGUGAGCUGGUUGCUGGAGAAGUCUCAGAGACCAUGCGCUGUCUCUUUAAGAAAGGCAUUCACUCACUCACUGCUCGGAGGCUGGAGUUGUUUAGAUCUCAGACUGCAGCAACUCCGAGUACUGAGCUAGGCUGUCCCCUCUCCCCCUGGUCUGUGGAGAUGGGGUACAGGGGCAGGGAAUAUCCUGACAUCAGCACCCCCUAAUUCCCCCGCUUUGCACAGCCAGCUGGAGGGUCCCGGGAGCAGCUGCAGGAGCAACAUGGCUGCAAAGUAGCAGGGGGUGGGGCACUUGAACACACGCUGCUGGAUGUGCGUGCUCUGCUAAUCAUCUGCAUGGCACUUGAAUCUCUCCUGGGCGGCCACCCAACCGCACAGCUUAGAGGGAACACAGGGCACAAGCUCUGUCCAAAGAUCUGACAAUGUAAGACACAAAAAAACAUAAAGUCCAGCAUCAUAUCAGAAGCAAGGACUGAGCCAAAGCCUAUUGAACUCAAUGGAAAGACUUCCAUGACUACAGAGAGCAUUGGAUCAGACCCUAGGUUUCAAUAAUCACCAAAGACCUUGGAGUCUCCUUUGCCUUUAUCUGCAUUGGCAGCACCAUGUUUCCUGACUUUCUGAUCUUCCAACAUAAAGUGAGCACUAGGCCUUUGAUUGAAGGAUACUGGCAAGAUGAAGUGUGAAAUAUGGCCACCUACGGAAAGGAAGUGAUACAACAACACAUUUCAGUGCUGUCAUGAAAUUCAUCAGAACAAUCCCUUCCCACAAGGAAGUAUCCCCAGAUCAGCAGAGCAGGGUGCCAUAAAGAAAACUGGAAGAUUUUAUAAAAACUGCACAGGCAUUGUACAUUUUGCUACGAGAUGCUAUGCCUCAGAACUCCCCUGGGAAAGGUCUAAUGCUGUGAGCAGAAAGGAAAGGUUCAUGAACCCCAUAACCAGGACUCCUGCAGGUCAAGCAUUAGUGCUUGGCAUCAGAGCCUGUGGACCUCAAAAGUAAAGGAGAGAAGGGGAAACGUAAGUCUCAUACCAGGAAAAGAACCAUGUCUUGACAAUGUCACGGCUCAGCUUACAAAUGCAAUUGAUGACUGCAGUUUGUGUUCUCCCUCCACUUCCCCCUCAAUAGAUAUAUAUAUUCAGCGUGGGAAAACAGGAGAGUGGUGAUGAGCCGGAGUGAUAGCUGCCUGGUACUUGCUACCUUAAAAGGGAGGCCUGAGAAAGUGCAAGAACAGCAGCAUGUUAAAUCUCACAUGCAGAGGAGGUGUCUCUGCUAUCACUCUGGAGUGCAACUAAUAAAGCAAGAGGGAGUCAGAGCAGUUCUCAGGCAAGCAGGGCUUUGGAAACACAGAUAAAUUCAGAUGAGAUAUUUGAACUUGAAAACUAGAUGUCAAAAGGCAUAGGAAUUCAAUCAGCCACUCUUUGAGCUUCAGUGAUUACCACAUAGGUUUGGUCUCUGUCAGAGGGAAUUGUGCUUUGUGAUGCUUGAGUUGAGUUAUUCUCCAGUUCACUUAAUUACUCACUCACAAACCUACUUUACACAAAGCAAAUAGCUCUUAAAUUAAAUUUUAAAAAAGCCUCACUGGCUACCAAUAGCUUGGACUAGGUUUUCUAUGUUUGCAAAAGUGUCAUCGUCCUGCUGCUUAGCAGGGCCAUUUAACAUCUCCUAUGCUACAGCACUGAAUCCUAAAUUGGUCAAAGCUGCUCUACACACAUUUCCCACAAACAAAUACACCCUCUGCUAGCAGGACUGGUUUUUGAUAAAGCAAUUGGAAAACCCCCUAUUUAUACAGAAUCACAAACAGCAUAUGCUGUCGGGUGCUUAAUGGGCAGGUACCAUAGAAAAUUAUGCUUCCUGAAUGCCAGUUGCCAAGGAAACUAGUCUAGAAGCUUUCACGAAAGGGACGUAAUGUCAUUUAAGGUAAUGUGUAGAGCUGGUCAAAUUAUUGGCUGUGAAUACAUGUACUGACAAAUUCAGACUUUUUUCCAUUUGCAAAUUGUUUGCAAACAGAUUACUGUUGUUUACUGAUAUAUUUUCAAUUUUUGAUGAUGCAAUGAACUGUUUAAGGCCUGAUCCAAAGCCCAAGACUACCAGUGACUUCGGUGGACUUUAGAUCAGGCCCUACGUGAACAAAUUUCAGCCAGAAAGUUCAUGAAAUGUUCACUUGGACUAUAUCCCAUUUGUGGUGUUUAGGCGGUCACCUAAGUCAUUCAGUACAGUUGACUUCUAGACUAGGUGACUGAAGCCUUUUAAUCAGAAGAUUAAUUGUUAAAUAGCCAAUAACAAAUAUUCUUGUUCACAUGUAAAUGUGUUACUCUGAUGCAAAUAUGGCUAUUCUAAUGAAGAACAGCCUUUCCCCAAAAAUUUGUAUUAACAAAAUACCCCUGAAUGUUUGUGAAUGCCAAAUAAAAGGUUGUAACAAAAGGCAAUAGUGAUUUGGAAUUCAAAUGAAUAUUUAAUAACACUGCUUUGCAACUUUCAACCAGAUAUCAACCACUUCAAGGAUCAUUACUGUGGGGCAGAAGUAAAGUCCUAGAAUUGACGGGGGUGUGGACUGAAGCACUGAGUGUUA